AUUGAACGCUGGCGGCAGGCCUAACACAUGCAAGUCGAGCGGAUGAAGGGAGCUUGCUCCUGGAUUCAGCGGCGGACGGGUGAGUAAUGCCUAGGAAUCUGCCUGGUAGUGGGGGAUAACGUCCGGAAACGGGCGCUAAUACCGCAUACGUCCUGAGGGAGAAAGUGGGGGAUCUUCGGACCUCACGCUAUCAGAUGAGCCUAGGUCGGAUUAGCUAGUUGGUGGGGUAAAGGCCUACCAAGGCGACGAUCCGUAACUGGUCUGAGAGGAUGAUCAGUCACACUGGAACUGAGACACGGUCCAGACUCCUACGGGAGGCAGCAGUGGGGAAUAUUGGACAAUGGGCGAAAGCCUGAUCCAGCCAUGCCGCGUGUGUGAAGAAGGUCUUCGGAUUGUAAAGCACUUUAAGUUGGGAGGAAGGGCAGUAAGUUAAUACCUUGCUGUUUUGACGUUACCAACAGAAUAAGCACCGCUAACUUCGUG
Molecule: ribosomal RNA, 483 nt
Filed under: uncultured bacterium
Lineage: Bacteria
Description: partial 16S ribosomal RNA
Rfam family: Bacterial small subunit ribosomal RNA
Source: RNAcentral